AGUGAACGCUGGCGGUAGGCCUAACACAUGCAAGUCGAACGGCAGCACAGUAAGAGCUUGCUCUUACGGGUGGCGAGUGGCGGACGGGUGAGGAAUACAUCGGAAUCUACUUUUUCGUGGGGGAUAACGUAGGGAAACUUAUGCUAAUACCGCAUACGAUCUACGGGUGAAAGCAAGGGAUCUUCGGACUUUGCGCGAUUGAAUGAGCCGAUGUCGGAUUAGCUAGUUGGCGGGGUAAAGGCCCACCAAGGCGACGAUCCGUAGCUGGUCUGAGAGGAUGAUCAGCCACACUGGAACUGAGACACGGUCCAGACUCCUACGGGAGGCAGCAGUAGGGAAUAUUGGACAAUGGGCGCAAGCCUGAUCCAGCCACACCGCGUGGGUGAAGAAGGCCUUCGGGUUGUAAAGCCCUUUUAUUGGGAAAGAAAAGCAGCAGAUUAAUACCCCGCUGUUCUGACGGUACCCAAAGAAUAAGCACCGGCUAACUUCGUG
Molecule: ribosomal RNA, 492 nt
Filed under: uncultured bacterium
Lineage: Bacteria
Description: partial 16S ribosomal RNA
Rfam family: Bacterial small subunit ribosomal RNA
Source: RNAcentral